GACGAACGCUGGCGGCGUGCCUAAUACGUGCAAGUCGAGCGAACAGAUGAGAAGCUUGCUUCUCCGAUGUUAGCGGCGGACGGGUGAGUAACACGUGGGUAACCUACCUAUAAGACUGGGAUAACUCCGGGAAACCGGGGCUAAUACCGGAUAAUAUUUUGAACCGCAUGGUUCAAUAGUGAAAGACGGUUUCGGCUGUCACUUAUAGAUGGACCCGCGCCGUAUUAGCUAGUUGGUAAGGUAACGGCUUACCAAGGCGACGAUACGUAGCCGACCUGAGAGGGUGCUAGGCUACACUGGAACUGAGACACGGUCCAGACUCCUACGGGAGGCAGCAGUAGGGAAUCUUCCGCAAUGGGCGAAAGCCUGACGGAGCAACGCCGCGUGAGUGAUGAAGGUCUUCGGAUUGUAAAACUCUGUUGUUAGGGAAGAACAAAUUUGUUAGUAACUGAACAAGUCUUGACGGUACCUAACCAGAAAGCCACGGCUAACUACGUGCCAGCCGCCGCGGUAA
This 514-nucleotide ribosomal RNA is filed under the name uncultured bacterium. RNAcentral's name for it is "partial 16S ribosomal RNA". It matches the Rfam family "Bacterial small subunit ribosomal RNA", at positions 28 to 523 of the family's 1533-position model. The record is from RNAcentral.